This 230-nucleotide unclassified non-coding RNA is filed under the name plant metagenome. RNAcentral's name for it is "partial contains small subunit ribosomal RNA, internal transcribed spacer 1, and 5.8S ribosomal RNA". The record is from RNAcentral.
GCUCCGUAGGUGAACCUGCGGAGGGAUCAUUACAGAGUUCAUGCCCUCCGGGUAGAUCUCCCACCCAUUGCUAUAACUACUCUCGUUGCUUUGGCGGGCCGCUGGGCCCUGCCCGGCCGCCGGCCCCGGCUGGCGCGUGCCCGCCAGAGACCUCACAGACUCUGAAUGUUAGUGUCGUCCGAGUAACUAUACAAUCGUUAAAACUUUCAACAACGGAUCUCUUGGUUCUG